GUUAAGCGACUAAGCGUACACGGUGGAUGCCCUGGCAGUCAGAGGCGAUGAAGGGCGUGCUAAUCUGCGAUAAGCGCCGGUAAGGUGAUAUGAACCGUUAUAACCGGCGAUACCCGAAUGGGGAAACCCAGUGUGAUUCGUCACACUAUCAUUAACUGAAUCCAUAGGUUAAUGAGGCGAACCGGGGGAACUGAAACAUCUAAGUACCCCGAGGAAAAGAAAUCAACCGAGAUUCCCCCAGUAGCGGCGAGCGAACGGGGAGGAGCCCAGAGCCUGAAUCAGCAUGUGUGUUAGUGGAAGCGUCUGGAAAGGCGCGCGAUACAGGGUGACAGCCCCGUACACAAAAGCGCAUGUGCUGUGAGCUCGAUGAGUAGGGCGGGACACGUGGUAUCCUGUCUGAAUAUGGGGGGACCAUCCUCCAAGGCUAAAUACUCCUGACUGACCGAUAGUGAACCAGUACCGUGAGGGAAAGGCGAAAAGAACCCCGGCGAGGGGAGUGAAAAAGAACCUGAAACCGUGUACGUACAAGCAGUGGGAGCCCCACCACUAAGCCAGUGGUGAACUCCACAUCCGCAUCC
Molecule: ribosomal RNA, 578 nt
Filed under: Salmonella enterica subsp. enterica serovar Typhimurium
Lineage: Bacteria; Pseudomonadati; Pseudomonadota; Gammaproteobacteria; Enterobacterales; Enterobacteriaceae
Description: partial 23S ribosomal RNA
Rfam family: Bacterial large subunit ribosomal RNA
Source: RNAcentral